GACUUUCUGUAUCCAAGUGAAGGUAUUCAUAGGAGGUGGGAUUCUGGCUACCGCAUCACAUCAACUGCAGCAACAUGGGAUCAAACUGCCCUUGUUCUCAGCAAUCCACGCGAAACCUUCAGAUGAAACACAAGAGACACUUCGGACUUCUGCUUUCCCAAGCACACAUGUUAAGGAGAAAUGGGCAAAAAAUCUUUACAUAGCAUCGGUGUGCUAUGGGAGAACUGUAUCUUGAUGUCUCGUAAUUUUGUUGGAGGAGGUUACUGGACGAUGAAAGUCCUCUCUGAUCAAACUCAGUUGUUAUUUCCGUAAUCAGAGGAAGGGAGAUCUUUGGUCUGUGGUCAAGCUGACUCGUGUUGCUCUAAGGACCUGAUUUGUGCUUACUAUUGCCAUUGACAUAUAGGAGCCUGUGUAAAACCUCUGCACCGGGCUGUGAUUAUGUCUAAAUGCUUUAGGAAAGUGUUAGAACUCCGACAAGUGUAAUUCGAUCAUUCCUUAAUGUUGUAUAGUGAUGGAAAUUUAAUGUUUGAUGACAGUAUCCAGCAGCUGUGUCUGUAUUAGCAGUGCUUGUAUAUGUAACAGGUUUUGCAACCCAAGGAUAUGUUCUAUUAAAUGUACUUGUUUCUCUCCUCA
Molecule: non-coding RNA, 633 nt
Organism: Salvia hispanica
Lineage: Eukaryota; Viridiplantae; Streptophyta; Magnoliopsida; Lamiales; Lamiaceae
Source: RefSeq, a predicted model, not a curated record